Molecule: ribosomal RNA, 451 nt
Filed under: uncultured bacterium
Lineage: Bacteria
Description: partial 16S ribosomal RNA
Rfam family: Bacterial small subunit ribosomal RNA
Source: RNAcentral
AACGAACGCUGGCGGCAUGCCUAACACAUGCAAGUCGCACGGACGUAGCAAUACGUUAGUGGCGCACGGGAGAGUAACACGUGGGAAUCUACCUUUUAGUUCGGAACAACACCGGGAAACUGGUGCUAAUACCGGAUACGCCCCGAGGGGGAAAGAUUUAUCGCUAAAAGAGGAGCCCGCGUCUGAUUAGCUAGUUGGUGAGGUAAUGGCUCACCAAGGCGACGAUCAGUAGCUGGUCUGAGAGGACGAUCAGCCUCACUGGGACUGAGACACGGCCCAGACUCCUACGGGAGGCAGCAGUGGGGAAUAUUGGACAAUGGGGGAAACCCUGAUCCAGCAAUGCCGCGUGAGUGAUGAAGGUCUUCGGAUUGUAAAGCUCUUUUGGCAGGGACGAUGAUGACGGUACCUGCAGAAUAAGCUCCGGCUAACUUCGUGCCAGCAGCCGCAGUAA